CGUGUAGGCGGCCUAUUAUGUCAGGUGUGAAAGCCCUCGGCCUAACCGAGGAAGUGCGCCUGAAACUGACAGGCUUGAGUACGAGAGAGGAGGACGGAAUUCCCAGUGUAGAGGUGAAAUUCGUAGAUAUUGGGAGGAACACCGGCGGCGAAAGCGGUUCUCUGGAUCGAUACUGACGCUAAGACGCGAAAGCGUGGGGAGCAAACAGGAUUAGAUACCCUGGUAGUCCACGCCGUAAACGAUGGAUAUUAGUUGUUGCGGGCUUAACCCUCGCAGUGACGACGCUAACGCAUUAAAUAUCCCGCCUGGGGAGUACGGCCGCAAGGUUAAA
This 331-nucleotide ribosomal RNA is filed under the name uncultured Pseudomonadota bacterium. Its description in RNAcentral is "bacterial SSU rRNA". It matches the Rfam family "Bacterial small subunit ribosomal RNA", at positions 568 to 898 of the family's 1533-position model. The record is from RNAcentral. Lineage: Bacteria; Pseudomonadati; Pseudomonadota.